This 215-nucleotide ribosomal RNA is filed under the name uncultured bacterium. RNAcentral describes it as "partial 16S ribosomal RNA". It matches the Rfam family "Bacterial small subunit ribosomal RNA", at positions 28 to 240 of the family's 1533-position model. The record is from RNAcentral.
GAUUAACGCUAGCGGCAGGCCUAAUACAUGCAAGUCGAACGGCAGCACGGGUAGCAAUACCUGGUGGCGAGUGGCGCACGGGUGCGUAACGCGUAUGCAAUCUACCUGUAACUGGGGAAUAGCCUUCCGAAAGGAAGAUUAAUACCGCAUAAUAUCACGAAACGGCAUCGUUUUGUGAUCAAAUCUCCGGAGGUUACAGAUGAGCAUGCGUGACA